This 507-nucleotide ribosomal RNA is filed under the name uncultured bacterium. RNAcentral describes it as "bacterial SSU rRNA". It matches the Rfam family "Bacterial small subunit ribosomal RNA", at positions 29 to 518 of the family's 1533-position model. The record is from RNAcentral.
AACGAACGCUGGCGGCGCGUCUUAAGCAUGCAAGUCGAAUGGCAAGAUCUGUGCUUGCACAGAUCCUAGAAUGGCGGACUGGUGAGUAACGCGUGGGUGACGUACCUUUGGAUGGGGAUAGCUCCUGGAAACAGGAGAUAAUACCGAAUACGCUGCAUGGGAACAGAGGCCAUGCAGGAAAGUAUCUUUUGAUACGCCGAAAGAGCGGCCCGCGGGCUAUUAGCUUGUUGGCGGGGUAACGGCCCACCAAGGCGACGAUAGCUACCCGGCCUAAGAGGGUGAUCGGGCACAUUGGGACUGAGAUACGGCCCAGACUCCUACGGGAGGCAGCAGCUAAGAAUAUUCCGCAAUGGACGAAAGUCUGACGGAGCGACGCCGCGUGGACGAGGAAGGACCCGGAAGGUUGUAAAGUCCUUUUAUGACUGAGGAAUAAGCAGAGUGAGAGAAACGCUCUGUGGUGACUGUAGGUCAUGAAUAAGCAACGGCUAAUUACGUGCCAGCCGCCGC